RNAcentral lists this ribosomal RNA (306 nucleotides) under Triticum aestivum (bread wheat). RNAcentral's name for it is "partial small subunit ribosomal RNA". Lineage: Eukaryota; Viridiplantae; Streptophyta; Magnoliopsida; Poales; Poaceae. The record is from RNAcentral.
AUGUCAUCUACAGGUGAGAGUCUUGGCACAACAGCUCCAGCUCCUAGCGGUGCAAAUAUUGCUAAGGUGACUGUUUCGCGUGCUGGUCUUCCACCUAGGCGUCGUAGCCCCCACAAGCAAUCAACAGACAUACCCAACGCACCAGCUGUAGCUAGGAGCAGCAGAGAUGAGUCUGGUUAUGUUCCUGCGUCCACACCGUUCCCGCCACCUGCCAAAAGCAAUGUUAUGGAGAAACCGGAAGACCGGAGUACAACUGAUGCAGGUGUCAAGCCGGGCACAAGUGAUGGAGGUGAAUGUCUGGAGUAG